This 387-nucleotide ribosomal RNA is filed under the name uncultured bacterium. RNAcentral's name for it is "bacterial SSU rRNA". It matches the Rfam family "Bacterial small subunit ribosomal RNA", at positions 29 to 417 of the family's 1533-position model. The record is from RNAcentral.
AUUGAACGCUGGCGGAAUGCUUUACACAUGCAAGUCGAGCGGCAGCGCGGGGGCAACCCUGGCGGCGAGCGGCGAACGGGUGAGUAACAUAUCGGAACGUACCCCGUCGUGGGGGAUAACACAGCGAAAGCUGUGCUAAUACCGCAUACGACCUGAGGGUGAAAGCGGGGAUCGCAAGACCUCGCGCGAUGGGAGCGGCCGAUAUCGGAUUAGCUUGUUGGUGAGGUAAAGGCUCACCAAGGCGACGAUCCGUAGCUGGUCUGAGAGGACGACCAGCCACACUGGAACUGAGACACGGUCCAGACUCCUACGGGAGGCAGCAGUGGGGAAUUUUGGGACAAUGGGGGCAACCCUGAUCCAGCCAUUCCGCGUGAGUGAAGAAGGCCU